GGCAGUGGGGUGCCACGGGAACGUCCGUCCCCGCUUCCAUCCGUUUAGCAUUCCCUGGCUAAGGAACGAACGGAGCGCCCUGUAAUGAAGGUUUAUUCUCAUUUCUGUAUUGCUGUGGCUAGAGCUGGGGGAGAGCUCAAGGAGAUCUGACAGCUUCAGCAGUGGGUGCCGAAGGAGUUCCCCAACUGGGAAGCAUUAGCUCUUGCUAGCAGGGAGGGCACGCAGAUGCACAGCAGGCUGAGACAUUCCUGCAUCCUUUUCCAUCCUUCUCCAUUCCCCGUGUUCCCAGCAGGGCAGAGCCGUGUGACACCAAAGGUUGAUGGGUUCCCUGGGAUUCCGGUGGCUGUGUGUUCGCUCCUUCUGUUAAGCAGGUACCCGCAGCACGUUCCUUCCCGCAGUUUCCUGGUGCCCCGCGCUCCCCGGCCGCUGAUCCGGCUUGCGCUGAGGCCGCGGCGUGCGGGAGGAACCACCAGGUGGCGACGUCUCUCCGUGCUGCUGCUGCUGCGGGCUUCGGUGGCUUUUCCGCCCUUCGCUCAGAAGCAGGAGCAGAUGCAGCUUGCUAGCUUGCUGCCCACCGGCACCGCUCAAUGCACGCUGGCAGAGCCGCCCCAUGCAUUGGAGAGGCAGCUUCCCCCUUUGCAGGAGGCACAGCACUGCUGACCUCAUCAGGAUCCCACCUCGUGCGUUGACGUGGAAUGAAGUCACCGUGGAGCUGGGACCCGGCAGUGAGCUGCAGGGCUGUGUGUGACAAAGAGAGCAACCUGAAGACAGGGGACUGCGAAACCUCCAUGACGUGCUUUGGAAAAAUACGUGGUCAGAGGGUGAAUACGCAGAGGAGAAGGAAUGCUCAGUUUGGGAUGAGCUGCCCUGGUUCUGCAGCCCCAACCGCCAUCUGUUGCGCUGAGCUCCGUCUAGCUCAGGCCGUAACUGUGCUCUCACCAGAUGUUAGCUUACAUGAGCUGCAUGUAAAAGUGAACUGGUGCGAGAGCUGUGGCCCGAAGUGCUUUCAGUAGGGUCUGACCUGCCGCAGUGACGACGUGCUAGCCGGCCUCUCGCUGCGGGGAUGCGCUCCAGAAGUCGCAGGGCUCUCACUGAGGCUGCAUCUUGCCUGCUGCGUCCUUCGGCGCCGAUCCUCCAGAACAGGAAAGUGGGAAUAAAGCUACGAGUGCAAAGCUGGCUGCUCAUGGAAUAUCUGCAGCGUGAUUGGCACUAAUGCUCUGCAGCCAGUGGGAGAAGAUACGUUACCCAAGCUUGCAGAGCUUUACCCACCCUUCUGGCUGAUGACAUGUUAAACACUUGGUUUGCGAUCAUCAAUUUUCUCCUGAAAUGAUACCCAAAGCUCUGCUGUUUUGAUUUAAAGUGAUUUCGAGUCUUGUAGUUAACAGUUAAGGAUGGUCCUGUCCAAGAGAAUCUAACUUGAGGAAGCCAUGAAAUUUAAUUCAUUUCUGCAACUUAAAUAUAUAAUCAGUGACAUAUGGGAAUACUAAAUACGGGGGGAAAUGUCAUUGCUUAAGUAAAAUUUCUGCAUUCAGUCAAAACCCAGCAGUUGUAACAUCAAACUGUAGUUUCCAUUGUACAGGAAAUAAAGCAUCAUUUUUUCAAAGAAAA
This is a long non-coding RNA of Lagopus leucura (white-tailed ptarmigan), 1608 nucleotides long. RefSeq lists it as uncharacterized. NCBI's taxonomy places the organism in Eukaryota, Metazoa, Chordata, Aves, Galliformes, Phasianidae. The record is from RefSeq and is a predicted model, not a curated record. The transcript has 6 exons.